This is a long non-coding RNA of Stylophora pistillata, 558 nucleotides long. The record is from RefSeq and is a predicted model, not a curated record. Lineage: Eukaryota; Metazoa; Cnidaria; Anthozoa; Scleractinia; Pocilloporidae.
AUUUGUUACUGGCAGAGGUCGGAAAAUUGUCAUCCAAAGUUAAUUCAUGCACUUGAGAUUGUGGCUCGUGAGGAAAAGUGUUCAUAUGUCGUGACACCUCUUGGAAAGAACGAUCAGUCAGCAGUUGCAAGUGAAUUGCUUCGCAUGUAAAACCGCCAAUCGAUUUGGGACACGCACGGUUGGAGGAUUUCUUCACUUGUAGGGAUUUCACGUUUAGAAAAUGACCGAACCCGCUCACCCCAACUCAACCCAUCUCUGCUAGCGCCCUCAGGCUCUGCCGAGAAGCCUAUCAGGGUUUUCAGAUUUUAGGUUUUACUCAAUCAGUCAGUCAGCUGCAACGCUAAUGUGACGAUCACCAUCACUUACGCUGAGCAAAUCCUGUCUGAGCCGAGCCUUGUUCCAUCUCUUGAGAGCUAUCGACGAAGUUCGUGGUUGAGAUCUGAACUUAACACUAAGCUGUUUUUUAAAGCCGACGCUAAUUGGGAGAAGUCAUUUUCUGACUUUCCAACCUUAGCAACAAUCUCGUGGCAUUUUCAAGGUUUACAUGGUGAAAACGGC